GUGGGGAAUCUUGCGCAAUGGGCGAAAGCCUGACGCAGCGACGCCGCGUGGGGGAAGAAGGCCUUCGGGUUGUAAACCUCUUUCAGCAGGGACGAAGCCACUCGGGUUAAUAGCCCAGAGGGUGACGGUACCUGCAGAAGAAGCCCCGGCUAACUACGUGCCAGCAGCCGCGGUAAUACGUAGGGGGCAAGCGUUGUCCGGAUUUAUUGGGCGUAAAGAGCGUGUAGGCGGCCGCACAGGUCCGUUGUGAAAACUGGAGGCUUAACCUUCAGACGUCGAUGGAAACCGUGCGGCUAGAGUCCGGAAGAGGAGAAUGGAAUUCCUGGUGUAGCGGUGAAAUGCGCAGAUAUCAGGAAGAACACCCGUGGCUAAGGCGGUUCUCUAGUACGGUACUGACGCUGAGACGCGAAAGCGUGGGGAGCGAACAGGAUUAGAUACCCUGGUAGUCCACGCCGUAAACGAUGGGUGCUAGGUGUGGGGGGUGUCGACUCCCCCCGUGCCGAAGCUAACGCAUUAAGCACCCCGCCUGGGGAGUACGGCCGCAAGGC
RNAcentral lists this ribosomal RNA (548 nucleotides) under uncultured bacterium. RNAcentral describes it as "bacterial SSU rRNA". It matches the Rfam family "Bacterial small subunit ribosomal RNA", at positions 354 to 894 of the family's 1533-position model. The record is from RNAcentral.